RNA transcript from Nomascus leucogenys (northern white-cheeked gibbon), 2871 nucleotides. It is a transcript of the gene named 5'-3' exoribonuclease 2 pseudogene, with no coding region annotated. NCBI's taxonomy places the organism in Eukaryota, Metazoa, Chordata, Mammalia, Primates, Hylobatidae. The transcript has a single exon. The record is from RefSeq and is a predicted model, not a curated record.
AUGGGAGUCCUGGCGUUCUUCUGCUGGCUCAGACAAAAGUACCCGUCCAUCAUAGUCAACUGCGUGGAAAAGAAGCCAAAACAACGCAAUGGUGUAAAGAUUCCAGUUGAUGCCAGUAAACCUAAUCCAAAUGAUGUGGAGUUUGAUAAUCUGUAUUUGGAUAUGAAUGGAAUCAUCCAUCCCUGUACUCAUCCUGAAGACAAACCAGCACCAAAAAAUGAAGAUGAAAUGCUGGUUGCAGUUUUUGAGUACAUUGACAGGCUUUUCAGUAUUGUAAGACCAAGACGACUUCUCUACAUGGCAAUAGAUGGAGUGGCACCACGUGCUAAAAUGAACAAGCAGCGUUCAAGGAGGUUCAAGGCAUCAAAAGAAGGAAUAGAAGCAGCAGUCGAGAAGCAGUGAGUCAGGGAAGAAAUAUUGGCAAAAGAUGGCUUUCUUCCUCCAGAAGAAAUAAAAGAAAGAUUUGACAGCAACUGUAUUACACCAGGAACUGAAUUCAUAGACAAUCUUGCUAAAUGCCUUCACUAUUACAUAGCUGAUUGUUUAAAUAAUGACCCUGGGUGGAAAAAUUUGACAGUUAUUUUAUCUGAUGCUAGUGCUCCCGGUGAAAGAGAACAUAAAGUCAUGGAUUACAUUAGAAGGCCAAGAGCCCAGCCUAACCAUGACCCAAAUACUCAUCAUUGUUUAUGUAGAGCAGAUGCUGGUCUCAUUAUGCUUAGCCUUGCCACACACGAACCAAACUUUACCAUUAUUAGAGAAGAAUUCAAACCAAACAAGCCCGAACCAUGUGGUCUUUGUAAUCAGUUUGGACAUGAGGUUAAAGAUUGUGAAGGUUUGCCAAGAGAAAAGAAGAGAAAGCAUGAUGAACUUGCCGAUAGUCUUCCUUGUGCAGAAGGAGAGUUUAUCUUCCUUUGGCUUAAUGUUCUUCGUGCGUAUCUGGAAAGAGAACUCACAAUGGCCAGCCUACCAUUCACAUUCGAUGUUGAGAGGAGCAUUGAUGACUGGGUUUUCAUGUGCUUCUUUGUGGGAAAUGACUUCCUCCCUCAUUUGCCAUCGGUAGAGAUUAGGGAAAAUGCAAUUGACCGUUUGGUCAACAUAUACAAAAAUGUGGCACACAAAACUGGGGUUACCUUACUGACAGUGGUUAUGUCAAUCUGCAAAGAGUACAGAUGAUCAUGUUAGCAGUUGGUGAAGUUGAGGAUAGCAUUUUUAAAAAGAGAAAGGAUGAUGAGGGCAGUUUUAGAAGAUGACAGAAAGAAAAAAGAAAGAGAAUGAAGAGAGAUCAACCAACCUUCACUCCUAGUGGAAUAUUAACUCCUCAUGCCUUGGGUUCAAGAAAUUCACCAGGUUCUCAAGUAGCCAGUAAUCCGAGACAAGCAGCCUAUGAAAUGAGGAUGCAGAAUAACUCUAGUCCUUCAAUAUCUCCUAAUACGAGUUUCAUAUCUGAUGGCUCCCCAUCUCUAAUGGGAGGAAUUAAGCGAAAAGCAGAAGACAGUGACAGUGAACCUGAGCCAGAGGAUAACGUCAGGUUAUGGGAAGCUGGCUGGAAGCAGCGGUACUACAAGAACAAAUUUGACGUGGAUGCAGCUGAUGAGAAAUUCCGUCAGAAAGUUGUGCAUUCGUACGUUGAAGGACUUUGCUGGGUUCUUAGAUAUUAUUAUCAGGGCUGUGCUUCCUGGAAGUGGUAUUAUCCAUUUCAUUAUGCGCCAUUUGCUUCAGACUUUGAAGGCAUUGCAGACGUGCCAUCUGAUUUUGAGAAGGGUACAAAACCGUUUAAACCACUGGAACAACUUAUGGGAGUUUUUCCAGCUGCAAGUGGUAAUUUUCUUCCUCCAUCAUGGCGGAAGCUCAUGAGUGACCCUGAUUCUAGUAUAAUUGACUUCCAUCCUGAAGAUUUUGCUAUUGAUUUGAAUGGGAAGAAAUAUGCAUGGCAAGGUGUUUCUCUCUUGCCAUUCAUGGAUGAGCGAAGGCUACGAGCUGCCCUAGAAGAGGUAUACCCAGACUUCACUACAGAAGAGACCAGAAGAAACAGCCUUGGAGGUGAUGUCUUAUUUGUGGGGAAACAUCACCCACUCCAUGACUUCAUUUUAGAGCUGUACCAGACAGGUUCCACAGAGCCAGUGGAUGUACCCCUGAACUAUGUCAUGGGAUUCAAGGAAAGUUUUCUCUGGAUGAAGAAGCCAUUCUUCCAGAUCAAAUAGUAUGUUCUCCUGUUCCUAUGUUAAGGGAUCUGACAUAGAACACUGUAGUCAGUAUUAAUUUUAAAGACCCACAGUUUGCUGAAGAUUAUAUUUUUAAAGCUGUAAUGCUUCCAGGAGCAAGAAAGCUAGCAGCAGUACUGAAACCUAGUGACUGGGAAAAAUCCAGCAACGGACAGCAGUGGAAGCCUCAGCUUGGCUUUAACUGUGACCGGAGGCCUGUACACCUGGAUCAGGCAGGCUUCAGGACUUUGGGCCAUGUUAUGCCAAGAGGCUCAGGAACUGGCAUUUACAGCAAUGCUGCACCACCACCUGCGACUUAUCAGGGAAACUUAUACAGGCCGCUUUUGAGAGGACAAGCCCAGAUUCCAAAACUUAUGUCAAAUAUGAGGCCCCAGGAUUCCUGGCAAGGUCCUCCUCCCCUUUUCCAGCAGCAAAGGUUUGACGGAGGCAUUGGGGCUGAACCUCUGCUCCCAUGGAAACGGAUGCUGCAAACCCAGAAUGCAGCCUUCCAGCCAAACCAGUACCAGAUGCUAGCUGGGCCUGGUGGGUAUCCACCCAGACGAGAUGAUCUUGGAGGGAGACAGGGAUAUCACAGAGAAGGAAGGAAAUAUCCUUUGCCACCACCCUCAGGAAGAUACAAUUGAAAUUAAGCUUUUGUAAAGCUUUCCCA